UGAUGGGAAUUCCUGGUCCAUGUUCUGAUUGGUCAACUUGAGUUUAUGAUCUUACCCAAUGGUUGACAAGCCUCUCCAGCAGCAGAUGGCAUGGAGGAGGGGAGAGUCCGAAAGGGAGGACCCAAGAAAGAGCAAGAAUAUAUAAGCUCUUGUGACCAGAGAGACUGACCUGUUUUGGAGCAACCGUGGUUCCCCCCCCCCCCCUAAUUAGCUGUUGGAAUUGGUUAAUCAACAUAUCCCAGGAGUUCCAGAUAUUUGUUUUGCGUCAAAGCUACAGACUUUUUAAGACUUCCAGAGAAACAGUGGGUGUUCAGCCUUCCUGGCUUUGACCAUAAUUAGAAAUUGACCAGUGGAAGCCCAUUAAAAUGACUUAAAUUUGUCAUGGAAUUAUUAAAUGAAAGAGGAUUAUCCAAUUCAAAACUGUUUAAUCUAUCUAGACUAAACCUUCUUAAUAUCCACCACCACCAUCACACACACACUCCCUUAGUUCUUUGGGAUAGGGACUGAAGGCCAUAUACUUUAGCUUCUGUGAUGGUCCAGUUGUUGCCUUGAAAGUAUGGAUACCCUGUGUCUCCCUGGAAGCCUAGGCAUCACCAUAGAUUAAGUCCUUCCUAGAGUUAUUAUCCAGAGUCUGCAGCCCAAGACUUGACCUUCAAGUGUUCAGAGAGCAGAUGGGUAGCAGCCACCACUGAAGUGGAAGCAAGUACCACUGAACUAUGGAACCUUAAGAUUUAUAUACCCUAUGGGGAAGCUCCCUCUCUGGAACUGGUUUCCCUGUGGGUACUGUCUCUUGCUCUAUGCAAAUCAGUGAAGCCAAAAUUGUCGACCCUUUAAAUGAUUAGUAUAUAUGCUAGCUCUGCUACCUAAACUAUUUGACUGUAGGUUUUAUGGAUCAGGCAGCCCUAUUAUAUUGAAGCUAAUAAGAGAGUACCCCUUACUUGGCCAUAGGCAGCCUUGAGUGCUGAUGUUAGUAUGAUGCUGUGGGCAGAACUGGAACGAAGGUUAUUGUCCAUAUACUCACAGCUACAAUUUGCUUUCUAUGAAAUUAAGCUUUGGGUAAGUUAAGCUUCUUCUCUGACAGACUCUUGAAUUUGGAAAGGAAUAAAGAUGGUAGAGAACAAGGAACAGAGAGCAAAACACAGGCACACAGUGACCCUGGCUUAAUGAGCUGCUCAGAUGCCCCUCAGGGGAUCAGAAGAAAACUGGAACACAAAGAUUUCCUACACUGAGUUCAUCGUGGGGCAUUUCUAGUUCUAGACCACAGAGAGGCAUGGCCCUCACUGUCUACUUCUCUGCUGGUUUUGAUUUGAAUUUCUUUCUUACAUCUUUCUUCCUUCCUUCCUUCCUUCCUUCCUUCCUUCCUCCCUCCCUCCCUUCUUCCCUCCCUCCCUCUCUCUCUCUUUCUUUCUUGUCUUUUGGUUUUUCAGGGCCACAUCUGGGGCAUAUGGAGGUUCCCAGGCUAGGGGUCUAAUCAGAGCUGUAGCUGCCGGCCUACACCACAGCCACAGCAACGCAGGAUCUGAGCCAUGUCUGUGACCUACUCCACGGCUCACGGCAAUGCUGGAUCCUUAACCCACUGAGUAAGGCCAGGGAUCGAACCUGUGUCCUCAUGGAUAAUAGUCAGGUUAAUUAACCACUGACCCAUGAUGGGAAAUCCUGAUUUGAAUUUCUUCACCUCUGUUUGAAUUUUAAAAGCCUCCAUCAUAUCAGGUAGACAACCAAAGAGCCAGAAAUCAGCCAUCCUGUUGCACAAGGAAGGCUGAGGCGUCACCAAUGAAGUAAUUCCUGAAGAACCGCACAUCUUCAGCACACCUACCUAUGUUGGAGUGUUCCAAAAAGCAGUAAAUUAUAAUUUAUAACACCCUCUACAAGCAUAUUUCACUUUAUUGGCUAAACAUAAAUGGGCAACUGCAGGCUUCUUCAGGAAGGUCCACGCUGCAUCUCUUCAUCUUCCCUGGACAUGGUUGUGUCCCCACUCCUUUUGUCUCUACCAUCCCCAGAAACAGCCCUUAUGGCACCAGCCAUAUGAGUCCUGGGGCCCAAGGAGGACUGGUUCUGUCGACUGUCAACAUGAUGCUUUAUCUCAUUCUAUAGAUAACACACAUUCCUUAAUGUUAAGCUCCCAGUUAAGCAAAGAGAAGGGCUGUGUCUCAGACGAUCUUUCAGGGAUGGCUAAAAUUCCAAGUCCCCAGAAAUGAGGCAGAGCAGAAAAAUCAGCAUUUCCCAUGAGAAAACACGGCUACACAGUGAAGGGAAAAAGCUCUCAGUUUUGGUGGCUGUACCUCUCCUGUAACCUCUUGAAAAGCACCUUCUUUGUCAUUCACGCUUCAGCUUUCCAGAUUUACCUUUAGGAAAGUUCAUCUCCACAAUCACCCCUUUCUCUACGUGGCACAGCACCUGCUUCAUUGUGUGGUCCCCCAUCAAACUUUGAGGACAUUGUGAGCAGCAAUUUUGUCUUAUUUAUCUUUGGAUUCCAGAGUCUAAGACAUAGCAGACCCUCCAUAAACAUGUUCAAAGUGAAUGAAUGAAUGAAUGCAUAAAUUGGAGUUCCCGUCAUGGCUCAGAGGUUAAUGAACCCAACUAGUAUCCUAAGGACACGGGUUCGAUCCCUGGCCUUGCUCAGUGGGUUAAGGAUCUGGCGUUACUGUGAGCUGAAGUGUAGGUCACAGAUGCAGCUGGUAUGCUGUGGUGCAGCAGGCAGCUGUAGCUCUGAUUCAAUCCCAUGGCCAGGGAACUUCCAUAUGCCAUGGGUGUAGCUCUAAAAAGAAAAAAAAUAGUUUUAUGGUCCCAAAGCCCUCCCAGUAUACAGUUAAUUUCUCAGAGUAUUGCUUUUCUAAUGUUUCAUCUGAACAUCUGUUGGCAAGACUUGAAAGAGGAUGGGAGAAGUGAAGAUGGGAAAGAGUAAUGGUAAGAAGCAGGACCGCUUUUCACUUCUUGCAAGUGUGUUUUAAAAUUCAAAUCUUGAACGGAGCUGAAAGGAGAGUUAGUCAUUGAAGUACAUGCAGCCGCUCUUACCAGGUAUUUAAUUCUAUUCAGUGGUCAGGAAAGCCAAGUUUUCUAAAGAAAUGAAAAUACUCUGAUGGAGGAAUGUGGGAGUAAAAGUGAUUCAAAAUAUUUUCUCUGGAGUUCCUGCUGUGGUGCAGUGGGUUAAGAAUCUGACUGCAGUGGCUUAGGUCCCUGCAGAGGCGUGGGGUUCCAUCCCUGUCCCAGCACAAUGGGUUAAAGGAUCCAGAGUUGCCACAACUGUGGCUUGGAUUCAGUCCCUGGCCCAGGAACUUCCAUAUGCCACAGGUGUGACCUUAAAAAAUUUUUUUCUCCUCUUAUCCAAAAAACCAUUUACUAUAAGAAAAAAAAUUAUUGCAUAAGAAGCAAAAAUGCCUUUAAUUUAAAACUAGUUAGCUUGUACCCUUAUUCCUUACUCUAUACCACUGCCACCUCCAUUAAAAUUUUUUUUAAAAACUUGAAAUAGAUUUUUAAAGCACGUCACUCCAUUUUACUGAUUAAUUGAUCAUUUUUAACAUAAAUUAAUAUUUGAGGGUUCCACUGCACUACUUGAGAAUUUAAGUCUCAAGAGUGUGAGCCUAAAGUUUGAGGAAUAAGAAGACCUAGUGUAGACAAAACAAGUUCCUGAUACUGCUGCCACUUCUCUCUCUACACCCAGGGCAGACAUCUCUAAUUGAUCACAUCAUUGAAUUUAAAGGAGGACUCAGAACAUUCUCAACACAUGGAUUUAAGUAAACACUACUAAUCUGCUAGAAUAUCAUAGCAGACACAUCGUCCUGCCAUUCCUUGGAGUAAAACACAUGUUGACUUAGAAACUGCAGUAUUACAUUCUAGUCCCAACUUUUUGUCUAAUAGUUGUAUGAUUAGCGACAAGUAAUUUAUCUUAUCUGGCAUUAUUGUUUCCAGACAUAAAAUGGAAUUUAUAACAUUUGCACCAAGAUUGAUUUGGGGAAUAGAUAUGGCCAGCAGGCACAUGAGAAAAUGCUCAAAAUCACUAAUUAUUAGAGAAAUGCAAAUCAAAACUACAGUGAGGUAGUUUUAAUCUCAUACCAGUUAGAGUGUCCAUUAUUAACAAGUCAACAAACAACAAACACUGGAGAGGAUGUAGAGAAAAGGGAACCCUCCUUCACUGUUGGUGGGAAUGUAAAUUGGUAUAAUCACUAUGGAAAACAUUAUGGAGUUACCUCGGAAACCUAAUAUAGAACUACCAUAUGAUUGGCAAUUCCACUCCUGGGCAUAUAGCUGGACAAAAUAUUCAUUGAAAAACAUACAUGCACCCAUAUGUUCAUCGUAGCACUAUUCACAAUAGCCAAGACAUGGAAACAACCCAAAUGCCCACUGAUAGAUGAAUGGAUUAAGAUGUGGUACAUAUACACAAUGGAAUAUUAUUCAGCCAUAAAAAGGACAAAAUAAUGCCAUUUGUAACAACAUGGAUGGAACUAAAGAUUCUCAUACCAUGUGAAGUAAGUCAGAAAGAGAAAGACAAAUACCAUAUGAUAUUACUUACCAGUGGAGUCUAAAAUAUGGCACAAAUGAUCUACAAAGCAGAAACAGAUCAGGGAUAUGGAGGGCUGACUUGUGUUUGUCGGGGGUGGGGAGAGGGGGAGGGAGGGAGAUGGACGGGGAGUUUGGGGUAGGUGGGUGCAGAAUGUUACAGUUAGAACUGAUGGGUGAUGACGUCCUGCUGUAUAGCACAGGGAACAGUGUCUGGUCUCUUGGAUUAGAAAUAGUG
This 4735-nucleotide long non-coding RNA is filed under the name Sus scrofa (pig). Its description in RNAcentral is "lncRNA (ENSSSCG00055020837.1)". Lineage: Eukaryota; Metazoa; Chordata; Mammalia; Artiodactyla; Suidae. The record is from RNAcentral.